UACGUAGGGAGCAAGCGUUGUCCGGAAUCAUUGGGCGUAAAGCGCGCGUAGGCGGCUCGAUCAGUCUGUUGUGAAAGUCAAAGGCUCAACCUUUGAAUGCCGAUGGAUACUGUCGAGCUAGAGUCCGGAAGAGGCGGGUGGAAUUCCUGGUGUAGCGGUGGAAUGCGCAGAUAUCCGGAGGAACACCAACGGCGAAGGCAGCCCGCUGGGACGGUACUGACGCUAAGGCGCGAAAGCGUGGGGAGCGAACAGG
Molecule: ribosomal RNA, 253 nt
Filed under: uncultured bacterium
Lineage: Bacteria
Description: partial 16S ribosomal RNA
Rfam family: Bacterial small subunit ribosomal RNA
Source: RNAcentral